UUCCGGUUGAUCCUGCCGGAGGCCAUUGCUAUCGGAGUCCGAUUUAGCCAUGCUAGUCGAGCGAGGUUAGCCCUCGCGGCGAACAGCUCAGUAACACGUGGCCAAGCUACCCUGCAGAGGGGGACAGCGUCGGGAAACUGACGGGAAUCCCCCAUACCGGUCUCACGCUGGAAUGCCGAGACCGACAAACGCUCCGGCGCUGCAGGAUGCGGCUGCGGCCGAUUAGGUAGUCGGUGGGGUAACGGCCCACCGAGCCGAUAAUUGGUACGGGGUGUGAGAGCACGAGCCCGGAGACGGAAUCUGAGACAAGAUUCCGGGCCCUACGGGGCGCAGCAGGCGCGAAACCUUUACACUGCACGAACGUGCGAUAAGGGGACUCCGAGUGCGAGGGCAUACAGUCCUCGCUAUUGUGUACCGUAGGGUGGUACACGACCAAGAGCUGGGCAAGACCGGUGCCAGCCGCCGCGGUAAUACCGGCAGCUCGAGUGAUGGCCGAUUUUAUUGGGCCUAAAGCGUCCGUAGCUGGCCCUGCAAGUCCGUCGGGAAAUCCACUCGCCUAACGAGUGGGCGUCCGGCGGAAACUACAGGGCUUGGGACCGGAAGACUUGAGGGGUACGUCUGGGGUAGGAGUGAAAGCCUGUAAUCCUGGACGGACCGCCUAUAGCGAAAGCACCUCAAGACGACGGAUCCCACAGUGAGGGACNAAAGCUAGGGUCUCGAACCGGAUUAAAUACCCG
This 737-nucleotide ribosomal RNA is filed under the name uncultured archaeon. RNAcentral describes it as "bacterial SSU rRNA". It matches the Rfam family "Archaeal small subunit ribosomal RNA", at positions 1 to 739 of the family's 1478-position model. The record is from RNAcentral.